UACGUAGGUGGCAAGCGUUGUCCGGAUUUACUGGGCGUAAAGAGCGCGCAGGCGGUCGUUCAAGUCGCGUGUGAAAGCCCCCGGCUCAACUGGGGAGGGUCACGCGAUACUGAUCGACUCGAAGGCAGGAGAGGGUAGUGGAAUUCCCGGUGUAGCAGUGAAAUGCGUAGAGAUCGGGAGGAACAUCUGUGGCGAAGGCGACUGCCUGGACCAGCACUGACACUGAGGCACGAAAGCGUGGGGAGCAAACAGG
RNAcentral lists this ribosomal RNA (253 nucleotides) under uncultured bacterium. RNAcentral's name for it is "partial 16S ribosomal RNA". It matches the Rfam family "Bacterial small subunit ribosomal RNA", at positions 524 to 776 of the family's 1533-position model. The record is from RNAcentral.